Molecule: long non-coding RNA, 303 nt
Organism: Penaeus chinensis
Lineage: Eukaryota; Metazoa; Arthropoda; Malacostraca; Decapoda; Penaeidae
Exons: 2
Source: RefSeq, a predicted model, not a curated record
GUAUGUCGUCCACACUUCUGAGGACGCGGUUGUGACGUGACCAGGAGCCGUGGCUUGUGCUUGUGGAAAGUGCCCGAGGAGUGCCAGCGUUUUGUCCCAGUGCACCCUUCCCGGAUGCCUUUCCCGCCCCGAUGCUGCCACAGCGAAGCAGCGCAGGGAUGGACAUGGCACUGAGGAUUUUUGCUGCAUUUGUAUAUUGUUCCAUAGAUGGUUCAUUCCUUUAUUUGUGACUUGUGUUCAUUCGUAUUGCACGUAGUGUAAACUCGGAAAUGUAUGUAUGGAAUUAUAAAGGAAUUACGUGGU